UGAUCGUCGGCUUGUUUGUGCACAUUGCUCAGUAUUUGCUUACCUCUUGAUACAAAUAGCCUUUACUAUUCUUCUGGAAGAGUACAAGCCAUCUGAAAAGGGGUUGUGGGAAUUCUGUAAUCAGAAUGACACCAUUCUUCCUUCAACUGAUAUUACGAACUCACAUGGUCAUUAUUGUUGCAUCAAAUGUUUUAGUGGAAAAGAAAAAGGAAAUCAUGGAUGUUAUAAUGCUGAAUUACUGUCCGUUCCAUUUUCUUCCCUGAAGAAAAACAUAUCAACUUGAAAGUUGUGGAUAUUAGCGAAAUCUGAUAUAUAGAUAGUAAAACUUUGCAUACAAUCAAAAGUGGUUCCUAGGCUUUUUGUUUCUUGUUAUUAUAUUCGUUCUGUUUUUGUACCAUGUG
RNAcentral lists this long non-coding RNA (401 nucleotides) under Elaeis guineensis (African oil palm). RNAcentral's name for it is "long non-coding RNA (EGUI_LNC007726)". Lineage: Eukaryota; Viridiplantae; Streptophyta; Magnoliopsida; Arecales; Arecaceae. The record is from RNAcentral.